RNAcentral lists this ribosomal RNA (404 nucleotides) under Actinomycetes bacterium. Its description in RNAcentral is "Actinobacteria bacterium partial 16S ribosomal RNA". It matches the Rfam family "Bacterial small subunit ribosomal RNA", at positions 355 to 776 of the family's 1533-position model. The record is from RNAcentral. Lineage: Bacteria; Bacillati; Actinomycetota; Actinomycetes.
UGGGGAAUAUUUGACAAUGGGCGCAAGCCUGAUCCAGCCAUGCCGCGUGAGUGAUGAAGGCCCUAGGGUUGUAAAGCUCUUUCACCGGUGAAGAUAAUGACGGUAACCGGAGAAGAAGCCCCGGCUAACUUCGUGCCAGCAGCCGCGGUAAUACGAAGGGGGCUAGCGUUGUUCGGAUUUACUGGCCGUAAAGCGCACGUAGGCGGACUUUUAAGUCAGGGGUGAAAUCCCGGGGCUCAACCCCGGAACUGCCUUUGAUACUGGAAGUCUUGAGUAUGGUAGAGGUGAGUGGAAUUCCGAGUGUAGAGGUGAAAUUCGUAGAUAUUCGGAGGAACACCAGUGGCGAAGGCGGCUCACUGGACCAUUACUGACGCUGAGGUGCGAAAGCGUGGGGAGCAAACAGG